CUCGUAGGCGGUUCGUCGCGUCCGGUGUGAAAGUCCAUCGCUUAACGGUGGGUCCGCGCCGGGUACGGGCGGGCUUGAGUGCGGUAGGGGAGACUGGAAUUCCCAGUGUAACGGUGGAAUGUGUAGAUAUCGGGAAGAACACCAAUGGCGAAGGCAGGUCUCUGGGCCGUCACUGACGCUGAGGAGCGAAAGCGUGGGGAGCGAACA
Molecule: ribosomal RNA, 207 nt
Filed under: uncultured bacterium
Lineage: Bacteria
Description: partial 16S ribosomal RNA
Rfam family: Bacterial small subunit ribosomal RNA
Source: RNAcentral